Molecule: ribosomal RNA, 468 nt
Filed under: uncultured bacterium
Lineage: Bacteria
Description: partial 16S ribosomal RNA
Rfam family: Bacterial small subunit ribosomal RNA
Source: RNAcentral
GACGAACGCUGGCGGCGUGCUUAACACAUGCAAGUCGAACGGAAAGGCCCUGCUUUUGUGGGGUGCUCGAGUGGCGAACGGGUGAGUAACACGUGAGUAUCCUGCCCUUGACUUUGGGAUAACUUCAGGAAACUGGGGCUAAUACCGGAUAGGAGCUCCUGCUGCAUGGUGGGGGUUGGAAAGUUUCGGCGGUUGUGGAUGGACUCGCGGCUUAUCAGCUUGUUGGUGGGGUAGUGGCUUACCAAGGCUUUGACGGGUAGCCGGCCUGAGAGGGGGACCGGCCACAUUGGGACUGCGAUACGGCCCAGACUCCUACGGGAGGCAGCAGUGGGGAAUAUUGCACAAUGGGCGGAAGCCUGAUGCAGCAACGCCGCGUGCGGGAUGACGGCCUUCGGGUUGUAAACCGCUUUCGCCUGUGACGAAGCGUGAGUGACGGUAAUGGGUAAAGAAGCACCGGCUAACUACGUG